UGCUAAGUUACAUAAUGUACAUUAAAAUAUAUGAAUUACAUAAAUAAUAUUCUAAAGUAUUCUAUCUAUUCUUGAAAAAAAUGUAUUUUACUCCUUUUUAUAAAGUAUGUAAAAGGUUUAGUCAAUUUUUGAACGUUUUCGCUUUAAGUGCUUAUUAUAUGCAAUACAAUACAAGUCAGUCAUUAUUUGUCCCUUCUUCCAUGAUAUGUGUUUUCAACUACCGUUGCUGUGUCAUCCAGCCAUUGGCGUGUCGAGUGCACUCCGCCCAUCUCGGAAUAUAUUGUAUUAUAUAAUAGUGAGAUAUAACAGGUGUGGCUGUAUAUACAUAAUAAUCAUAUUCAAUACCAUAAAUAUCGCCCAACUAAUGAAAUUAGGAGAUUCAAUUGCAUAUUUUAUCAAUUGUAAUAAAUUGCAAACAACAAUGUAUUAUACAUGCCAUAAUUAUCAUCAUAACAAAACAGACCUGUAUAUAAGAUCAAUUCAGAAACACUCCUUUCAGAAGUAUACCUUGGAGUAUACGUGUAUAUCUUACGAAUGCCUGGACUAAAAUGAAUGUGAAGACGUUUGGAAAAAUCAAUUGCGCUUGCGCGAACUUCGGUAGAUAUUAUGACAUGACUAUUUUUCUGUGAGAAAUAAAUAUUCGUUGUACUUUCGUUACGACGCUAAAUCGAUCAAUUAAUCGCGCACUUUUCUCUCCCGAGCAAACUGCGAGGAAAUUAUUUCUAUAGCACCGUAAAUUACAUCUUGAUAUUUUAUGUUACUUUCGUCGGUAUAUUUCUGUUAAAUUAAGGAAAUUUACCUUGGAAAAUACAUUAGAAGAAAAAUAUUAUGUACUUUUCUUUAUUCGAAGAAAGAAAUAGAUAAAAUCGCUUUAUCUCAAUAUAUUGAGAUAUAUCGCUCCCAAAUGCGUGUGGAAGCUCAAACAAGAGUGACCUGUAUUAAUAUUCAAUUUUUUUACAUUCAUCGAAUUUCUAUGGUCGCACUUGGGUUAUGGCCUUACCAUCGAACAAUGCUUGUGCAACUUCAGUCUUGUGUGUUUUCUCUUACUACGACUAGUUUUAUUAUAUUUCAGCUUACAACAUUUCUAACUACAGAAUGGACUAUUGACUUUAUCGUUGAAAUUCUUUCUAAAUCACUUUUUCUUCUUGUGUGCGUACUUCUAUAUAACUAUUUGUGGAUUAACACGCAUGUUGUGAAGUACAUAUUGGAAAAGCUUCAGUACGUCUGUAGAGAGUUAAAGAAUGAAAACGAAAUUGCAAUAAUAAAAAGAUAUGGACACAUUGCAAAAUAUGUUGCCAUUGGAUUAACAUCGUUGGCGAUAUGGAGUUUAUUCAUCUUUACUCUUUUGCCAAUUCUGCCGCGGAUUUUUGGCAUCUUUUUCCCCGUAAAUAAAUCUGAGACAUAUCGUAAUAUAUAUAUUACAACUGAAUAUUUUGUCGAUGAAGAAAAAUAUUUUUAUUUUAUUAUGCUGCAUCUGUACGUAGCCCAUUACAUAGCAGGAGGUACAUUAAUAGGAGCAGGAGUUCUCCUGACCGGAUACUUUACAUAUUUUUGUGGAUUAUUUAACAUUGCCAGUUAUCGUAUCGAACAAGCAAUGCGGAUAAAUAGUGACGAACUAACUAAUCGGAAGAACAAGAGGAAGAUCGACAAGAAGAUAAGUCAUGCAGUGGACAUUCAUCGCACAGCUCUUGAGUUUACUGAAUUCUUUCUAUAUAACUUCGAGGGAAUAUGCUUUCUUAUAAUAGCGAUUAUUGUAAUUUGUUUGAGCCUUAAUCUGUUUGGAAUCUUUCAAGCCGUUCGUUAUGUGUAUAAUAUGCAAGAGUUUCUAGUACACUGUGGUUUUACGGUUGGCAUUUUAACAUGUUCAUUAGGAGUCAACUGCGUGGGUCAAGCAAUUACAGAUCACUAUAAUUACAUGUUUUCAUCCGCGUAUAACGUUCCAUGGUACGUUGCGUCUGUACGCGUGCAAAGAUUAAUAUUGUUUCUUUUGCGAAGAGGCACUAAGCCUUAUGGCUUGAAAUUCGGUGGUCUUUAUACAAUAUCUUUAGAAAGCUUUGCCUCGCAUUCACAUUAGAAAUCACAUCGAUAUGAUUGAAUAAAAAAGUUAUACUAGGAUAUGUUAAGAAAAUUGCCUUAUAAUAAAACGGUAAUUCACAAAAUAUAAUAAAUAAAUAUUUUAUAUUUAAAAACAUAGACUCUUUCCAGAAACACAAGAUUUCUAAUUACAUAUGUUGGGUUGUAUAAGAAUAUACAAUCUGUUUGAUAAGAAAGUGUCCGGCAAUUUAUCUAACAAUAAGAAGAACGUAGCCAAUUUGAUUUAUAGAAAAAUGUAUUACAUAAAACUGUGAACGUGUAUAUCUAUUCUACCCUAUUAGAACUAAAAUAUUUUCAUAUUAAUAAUGUGUGCAGUCGCCACCGUUGUCAAUACUUGCCUGACAUCUUCGAGGCUAUCACUUUCCAUUAAAUUGUAGUGUAUUCUUGUGACAAAGAUCUCCAUAUCAAAUGAAUAUGUAAUACUAAGUAAUUACUAUGCAUUAUAUACUUUUUUCCACGAACCUUGUACUUUAUGUAUGCCAAAAACAUUUUCGAUUCAAUUAGUAUUAGGCGAAUAUGAUGCCUACGGAAUUGCGAAUCAUAAUACGUAUGCGGUAUUCAUGGCGAAAAUUUUUCUUUCAGUUAUGAAGCUCGAACGAUAAUUGAAGCUUUCUCUACAAAGCAUCGUAGGGAAAGGGUUCCGUUGGAAUAUUUAGUAGGUGCCAUUGGAAUUUCCCGUCUACUAGUUUCACCAGAUAUUCUUUUACCAUACAGAUUAUGUAUACCUCCUGCUUUUUUAGUGUUUUUAAUAACGUGAAUAUAUGUUACAACCUAUAUUAUCAUUAAUUAUUAAAAACAUUAAACAUUAAAAAACCGGGACGACUAUAUGUCGCAAUUUAAUAAAUACGUGUUUUCAAAAAUAUUUGAGGAUGCAAUUCAAUAUUCGUUUCAAACGUAAUAAAUUAUAGAUAUAAUGGCACAUGAUAUGUUAUAUAAUUACUAUCAUAUCAAAACUGACAUGUACGUACGAUCAACCAGGUAACGCUCCUUUUAAGAGACAUGUGUACGUUACGAGUGCGCGGACUAGAAUGAAGAACGCGAAGACGUAUUGCUUGAAAAAAUCAAUUGCGCUUGCGCGAACUUCGGUCAAGAUAUCAUGACGUAACUAUUUUCUAUGAAAAAUGUCUUUAUACUUCUAAUAUAGAUUACGGCGUCAAAUCGAUCAGUUAAUCGUUCACUUUUCUCUCCCGCGUAAAUUGCGAGAAAAUUAUUUUUAUAGCACCUUAUAUUACAUGUUGAUAUUCUUUGUUACUUUCGUCGGUAUAUUUUUGUUAAAUUAAGGAUUUUUGCCUUGGAAUAUACGAGAGAAGAAAAAUAGUAUGUAAUAUUCUUUAUUCUAAAAAAGAGAUAGGCAAAUUCAUUUUGAUAUAUCGCCCUCAAAUGUGUGUAGAAACUCGAACAAGAGUGACUUGUAUUGAUACUCAAUUUCUUUACAUUCAUCGAAUUUCUCUGGUCGCAAUUGGGUUAUGGCCUUACCAGCGAACAAUGCUUGUACAACUUCAGUCUUGUGUAUUUUCUCUUAUUAUGCUUAGUUUUGUUAUGUUUCAGCUUACAACAUUUCUAACUACAGAAUGGACUAUUGACUUUAUCGUUGAAAUUUUAUCUACAUCACUUUUUAUUCUUUUGUGCGCAAUUCAAUAUAAUUCUCUUUGGAUUAACACGCAUGUUGUAAGUUGAGUUUUUACAGUAUGGUUUUAUUGUAUAACAUACCUAUUAUACAAUAAAUCAGGUUUUCUACACCAUAAUUUUUUGUAAAAGUUAUCAGAGAAAUAGAAAAUUAUCUGAUAUAUUGUUGAUACGAUAGGUGAAGCAUAUAUUGGAAAAUCUUCAGUACGUAUGUAACGACUUAAAGGAUGCAAACGAAAUUGCUAUAAUAAAAAGAUAUGGACACUUUGCAAAAUGUGUGGCAAUUGGAUUGACAUGUAAGAAUAUAUCAAUUAUUAUUUAUUAUACUUUAGCGCACGCAGUUCAAUAUAAAAUAAUUAUACUAAAAGUGUGCAAACAUGUAAAUAAAUAAAAAUGAAGAGUAGAUAGUGUUAGCAACCUACCAAAUUAUUACAGAAAAAUAAAAAUGUGAAAAAAUAAUGAGAUAAUAAAAUGAUAAAAAAUAAUGAGAUAAUAAAAUGAUAAAAAAUAAUGAGAUAAUAAAAUGAUAAAAAAUUUGAAACAUAUGCUAUAUUUCAAAAUGUCAAUGAGGAUGGAGUUAUGAUCGCUGCUUAUGUUUUUAAUCUAUCUUUAGUGUUGGCGAUGUGGGCUUUAUUCAUCUUCACUCUUUUGCCAAUUCUGCCGCGGAUUUUCGGCAUCUUUUUCCUUGUAAAUAAAUCCGA
This is an RNA transcript of Ooceraea biroi (clonal raider ant), 4421 nucleotides long. It is a transcript of the gene named odorant receptor 13a, with no coding region annotated. The record is from RefSeq and is a predicted model, not a curated record. NCBI's taxonomy places the organism in Eukaryota, Metazoa, Arthropoda, Insecta, Hymenoptera, Formicidae.